RNAcentral lists this ribosomal RNA (398 nucleotides) under uncultured Herbaspirillum sp. RNAcentral describes it as "bacterial SSU rRNA". It matches the Rfam family "Bacterial small subunit ribosomal RNA", at positions 65 to 461 of the family's 1533-position model. Lineage: Bacteria; Pseudomonadati; Pseudomonadota; Betaproteobacteria; Burkholderiales; Oxalobacteraceae. The record is from RNAcentral.
AACGGCAGCAUAGGAGCUUGCUUCUGGUGGCGAGUGGCGAACGGGUGAGUAAUAUAUCGGAACGUACCCUAGAGUGGGGGAUAACGCAGCGAAAGCUGGGCUAAUACCGCAUACGAUCUAAGGAUGAAAGUGGGGGAUUCGCAAGGACCUCAUGCUCGUGGAGCGGCCGAUAUCUGAUUAGCUAGUUGGUGAGGUAAAGGCUCACCAAGGCAUCGAUCAGUAGCUGGUCUGAGAGGACGACCAGCCACACUGGAACUGAGACACGGUCCAGACUCCUACGGGAGGCAGCAGUGGGGAAUUUUGGACAAUGGGGGCAACCCUGAUCCAGCAAUGCCGCGUGAGUGAAGAAGGCCUUCGGGUUGUAAAGCUCUUUUGUCGGGGAAGAAACGGUUUUGGCU